GACUUGGCAUUGGGUUGUUCUAAAGAGCCUGCCCGAAGCCUUUGGAUCAGCAUGCAGGACUAUGCUGUUAGUAAAGAUUGGGACAGUGCAACUUUAAGUAAUGAGUCACUCUUGGACACUGUGUCUAGAUUUGUUCUUGCAGCUCUUCUGAAACACACAAAUUUACUUAGUCAAGCAUGUGGAGAAAGCCGAUAUCAACCUGGUAAACACUUAUCAGAAGUGUACCGUUGUGUAUACAAAGUUCGAAGUCGUUUACUUGCUUGCAAGAACCUUGAACUUAUUCAAACAAGGUCAUCAUCACGGGACAGAUGGGUAAAGUUUGAAAUCAAUUAAUUUCUAUGUUUUUCUGCAAGCUGUGAGAGCUAGCUCUAAAUUGGUUUAUGUGAGAAAAAAAUGUGCCUUGGUUAUUGCAUAUGUUCAAUACAUGUUGAGUAGUUCUUUUCCUAGUAGAAAAAAA
Molecule: small RNA, 457 nt
Filed under: Pan troglodytes (chimpanzee)
Lineage: Eukaryota; Metazoa; Chordata; Mammalia; Primates; Hominidae
Description: retained intron
Source: RNAcentral